UACGGGGGGAGCAAGCGUUGUUCGGAUUUACUGGGCGUAAAGGGCGCGUAGGCGGCCAGCACAAGUCAGUUGUGAAAUCUCCGAGCUUAACUCGGAAAGGUCAACUGAUACUGUGCGGCUAGAGUGCGGAAGGGGCAACUGGAAUUCUUGGUGUAGCGGUGAAAUGCGUAGAUAUCAAGAGGAACACCUGCGGCGAAGGCGGGUUGCUGGGCCGACACUGACGCUGAUGCACGAAAGCGUGGGGAGCAAACAGG
Molecule: ribosomal RNA, 254 nt
Filed under: uncultured bacterium
Lineage: Bacteria
Description: partial 16S ribosomal RNA
Rfam family: Bacterial small subunit ribosomal RNA
Source: RNAcentral